ACGCUGGCGGCGUGCCUAAUACAUGCAAGUAGAACGCUGAAGAGAGGAGCUUGCUCUUCUUGGAUGAGUUGCGAACGGGUGAGUAACGCGUAGGUAACCUGCCUUGUAGCGGGGGAUAACUAUUGGAAACGAUAGCUAAUACCGCAUAACAAUGGAUGACCCAUGUCAUUUAUUUGAAAGGGGCAAAUGCUCCACUACAAGAUGGACCUGCGUUGUAUUAGCUAGUAGGUGAGGUAACGGCUCACCUAGGCGACGAUACAUAGCCGACCUGAGAGGGUGAUCGGCCACACUGGGACUGAGACACGGCCCAGACUCCUACGGGAGGCAGCAGUAGGGAAUCUUCGGCAAUGGGGGCAACCCUGACCGAGCAACGCCGCGUGAGUGAAGAAGGUUUUCGGAUCGUAAAGCUCUGUUGUAAGUCAAGAACGAGUGUGAGAGUGGAAAGUUCACACUGUGACGGUAGCUUACCAGAAAGGGACGGCUAACUACGUGCCAGCAGCCGCGGUAAUACGUAGGUCCCGAGCGUUGUCCGGAUUUAUUGGGCGUAAAGCGAGCGCAGGCGGUUUGAUAAGUCUGAAGUUAAAGGCUGUGGCUCAACCAUAGUUCGCUUUGGAAACUGUCAAACUUGAGUGCAGAAGGGGAGAGUGGAAUUCCAUGUGUAGCGGUGAAAUGCGUAGAUAUAUGGAGGAACACCGGUGGCGAAAGCGGCUCUCUGGUCUGUAACUGACGCUGAGGCUCGAAAGCGUGGGGAGCGAACAGGAUUAGAUACCCUGGUAGUCCACGCCGUAAACGAUGAGUGCUAGGUGUUGGAUCCUUUCCGGGAUUCAGUGCCGCAGCUAACGCAUUAAGCACUCCGCCUGGGGAGUACGACCGCAAGGUUGAAACUCAAAGGAAUUGACGGGGGCCCGCACAAGCGGUGGAGCAUGUGGUUUAAUUCGAAGCAACGCGAAGAACCUUACCAGGUCUUGACAUCCCGAUGCUAUUUCUAGAGAUAGAAAGUUACUUCGGUACAUCGGUGACAGGUGGUGCAUGGUUGUCGUCAGCUCGUGUCGUGAGAUGUUGGGUUAAGUCCCGCAACGAGCGCAACCCCUAUUGUUAGUUGCCAUCAUUCAGUUGGGCACUCUAGCGAGACUGCCGGUAAUAAACCGGAGGAAGGUGGGGAUGACGUCAAAUCAUCAUGCCCCUUAUGACCUGGGCUACACACGUGCUACAAUGGUUGGUACAACGAGUUGCGAGUCGGUGACGGCAAGCUAAUCUCUUAAAGCCAAUCUCAGUUCGGAUUGUAGGCUGCAACUCGCCUACAUGAAGUCGGAAUCGCUAGUAAUCGCGGAUCAGCACGCCGCGGUGAAUACGUUCCCGGGCCUUGUACACACCGCCCGUCACACCACGAGAGUUUGUAACACCCGAAGUCGGUGAGGUAACCUUUUGGAGCCAGCCGCCUAAGGUGGGAUAGAUGAUUGGGGUG
Molecule: ribosomal RNA, 1465 nt
Filed under: uncultured organism
Description: SSU rRNA
Rfam family: Bacterial small subunit ribosomal RNA
Source: RNAcentral